RNAcentral lists this ribosomal RNA (350 nucleotides) under uncultured rumen bacterium. Its description in RNAcentral is "bacterial SSU rRNA". It matches the Rfam family "Bacterial small subunit ribosomal RNA", at positions 20 to 363 of the family's 1533-position model. The record is from RNAcentral.
UGGCUCAGGAUGAACGCUGGCGGCAGGCUUAAUACAUGCAAGUCGAGGGGCAGCAGCUUUAUAGCAAUAUAGAGGCUGGCGACCGGCAAACGGGUGCGGAACACGUACACAACCUUCCUUGAAUAGGGGGAUAGCCCAUAGAAAUGUGGAUUAAUACCCCGUAAUAUAGCGGUGUGGCAUCACACUGUUAUUAUAGUUUCGGCGAUUCGAGAUGGGUGUGCGGCUGAUUAGGUAGUUGGCGGGGUAAAGGCCCACCAAGCCUUCGAUCAGUAGCUGAUGUGAGAGCAUGAUCAGCUACACGGGCACUGAGACACGGGCCCGACUCCUACGGGAGGCAGCAGUGGGGAAUA